GACGGAGGGUGCUAGCGUUGUUCGGAAUGACUGGGCGUAAAGGGCGCGUAGGCGGCCCUGUAAGUCCGCUGUGAAAGUCAAGGGCUCAACCCUUGAAUGCCGGUGGAUACUGCAGGGCUAGAGUCCGGAAGAGGCGAGUGGAAUUCCUGGUGUAGCGGUGAAAUGCGCAGAUAUCAGGAGGAACACCGAUGGCGAAGGCAGCUCGCUGGGACGGUACUGACGCUGAGGCGCGAAAGCCAGGGGAGCAAACGGG
This 253-nucleotide ribosomal RNA is filed under the name uncultured bacterium. RNAcentral describes it as "partial 16S ribosomal RNA". It matches the Rfam family "Bacterial small subunit ribosomal RNA", at positions 524 to 776 of the family's 1533-position model. The record is from RNAcentral.